AAGAGUCUUCUAAUCACCCUGUGGUGGCUUGGAAAGGGCGAUACAUUAACUUCAAUUUCUGAUCGGUUUGAUGUAGCUUGUUCCACAGCUCAUCACUAUGCUAAUAUAUUAUUAGAAAGGCUUGUGGGUUUAUUACCAAAAAUUUAUUUCAUGGCCGAAUGAAGAAGAGUGGUUGACCAUUGAACAACAAUUUAGGGAAAUUUGUGGUUAUCCAGGUAUUAAUAUAUGGUUUUAAAUAACUGAUUUUGCAUUGGGUUUUUUGACAUUAUUUUAUCACCUUUUUUAUUAUAUUUUUUAAAGGGGUGAUUGGAGCUAUUGAUGGCUGCAAUAUAAAUUUCAAGGCUCCCCUGAAACAGCAAGAUAGCUAUAUUGAUAAAAAUUCAAACCAUAGCAUAAAGAUGCAACCUGUUGUUACUGCUAAAAGGAUAUUUACAAAUAUAAAUGUUGGAUUUCCGGGUUCAGUUCCUGACUCUAGGAUUUUUAAUAAUAGUAAGUUGUUCUUACAAACACAAGAAAAUAUCCAAAAAUAUUAUCCUUUAGAAGACUACCAUAUUUUAGGUGACAAGGCUUAUCCACUUUUAGGUUGGUUGUUGACGCCUUUUAAAGACUAUGGAAAUUUGAAUCAAAGGAAAACUAUGCACAACUUAAAACACAGUAAAACUAGAAUUCCAGUUGAACACACAUUCGGUAUAUUAAAAGGACGGUGGAGAAUAUUAAAAUAUAUAAAUGUAAAUUGUCCUAAAAAGGCAACAAAAAUCAUUGUUGCAUGCUGUGUCUUGCACAAUUACUGUUAUGAAAACCUGGAUGAAUGGACUGGUGAAAUAGAUGAAAAUGAUAAUGACAAUGAAGUUGGUAUAUUAAUCCAAAUUCAAAAUGAGAAUCUUGGAUUUUAUAAGAGAGAGCAAAUUUGUGACCUUUUUGUCUAAAGAAGAAAUGUUAGAAGUGUACAAAAGUGUAAUUAGCAACAUGUUAAAAAUCAAUGUAGAUAAGUAGAAUAAGAUAGAACGGUUAAUGUAAAUUAUGUUAAAUUUUAAACAGUUAAGAUAUAAAUGUUGAUAUUAAUGUUUGAAAAAAAUAUAGGACAAAUUAAGAAAAUAAAUAUAAAUAGAAUUUACAAAA
Molecule: long non-coding RNA, 1119 nt
Organism: Anthonomus grandis grandis
Lineage: Eukaryota; Metazoa; Arthropoda; Insecta; Coleoptera; Curculionidae
Exons: 3
Source: RefSeq, a predicted model, not a curated record